This 468-nucleotide ribosomal RNA is filed under the name uncultured bacterium. RNAcentral describes it as "partial 16S ribosomal RNA". It matches the Rfam family "Bacterial small subunit ribosomal RNA", at positions 28 to 507 of the family's 1533-position model. The record is from RNAcentral.
GACGAACGCUGGCGGCGUGCUUAACACAUGCAAGUCGAACGGAAAGGCCCUGCUUUUGUGGGGCGCUCGAGUGGCGAACGGGUGAGUAACACGUGAGUAACCUGCCCUUGACUUUGGGAUAACUUCAGGAAACUGGGGCUAAUACCGGAUAGGAGCUCCUGCUGCAUGGUGGGGGUUGGAAAGUUUCGGCGGUUGGGGAUGGACUCGCGGCUUAUCAGCAUGUUGGUGGGGUAGUGGCUUACCAAGGCUUUGACGGGUAGCCGGCCUGAGAGGGUGACCGGCCACAUUGGGACUGAGAUACGGCCCAGACUCCUACGGGAGGCAGCAGUGGGGAAUAUUGCACAAUGGGCGGAAGCCUGAUGCAGCAACGCCGCGUGCGGGAUGACGGCCUUCGGGUUGUAAACCGCUUUCGCCUGUGACGAAGCGUGAGUGACGGUAAUGGGUAAAGAAGCACCGGCUAACUACGUG